Molecule: ribosomal RNA, 253 nt
Filed under: uncultured bacterium
Lineage: Bacteria
Description: partial 16S ribosomal RNA
Rfam family: Bacterial small subunit ribosomal RNA
Source: RNAcentral
UACGAAGGGUGCAAGCGUUACUCGGAAUUACUGGGCGUAAAGCGUGCGUAGGUGGUGAGUUAAGUCUGUCGUGAAAGCCCCCGGCUCAACUGGGGAGGGUCACGCGAUACUGAUCGACUCGAAGGCAGGAGAGGGUAGUGGAAUUCCCGGUGUAGUGGUGAAAUGCGUAGAUAUCGGGAGGAACACCAGUGGCGAAGGCGACUACCUGGCCUGUUCUUGACGCUGAGGCGCGAAAGCUAGGGGAGCAAACGGG